GGCCGGGUGGCGGAAUAGGCAGACGCACAGGACUUAAAAUCCUGUGACCCGUUAAGGGUCGUACGGGUUCGACCCCCGUCCCGGCUA
RNAcentral lists this transfer RNA (87 nucleotides) under Planctomycetaceae bacterium. RNAcentral's name for it is "tRNA-Leu". It matches the Rfam family "tRNA". From Rfam's summary of the family: Transfer RNA (tRNA) molecules are approximately 80 nucleotides in length. Their secondary structure includes four short double-helical elements and three loops (D, anti-codon, and T loops). The record is from RNAcentral. RNAcentral also lists the same sequence under 2 other names. Lineage: Bacteria; Pseudomonadati; Planctomycetota; Planctomycetia; Planctomycetales; Planctomycetaceae.